AUUGAACGCUGGCGGCAGGCCUAACACAUGCAAGUCGGGCGAGUGGCGGACGGGUGAGUAAUGUAUGGGGAUCUGCCUGAUGGCGGGGGAUAACUACUGGAAACGGUAGCUAAUACCGCAUACCAUCGGAUGAACCCAGAUGGGAUUAGCUAGUAGGUAAGGGAAAGGCUCACCUAGGCGAAGAUCCCUAGCUGGUCUGAGAGGAUGAUCAGCCACACGGGGACUGAGACACGGCCCAGACUCCUACGGGAGGCAGCAGUGGGGAAUAUUGCACAAUGGGCGCAAGCCUGAUGCAGCCAUGCCGCGUGUAUGAAGAAGGCCUUAGGGUUGUAAAGUACUUUCAGUGGGGAGGCGUUACCGACAGAAGAAGCACCGGCUAACUCCGUGCCAGCAGCCGCGGUAAUUC
RNAcentral lists this ribosomal RNA (406 nucleotides) under uncultured bacterium. Its description in RNAcentral is "partial 16S ribosomal RNA". It matches the Rfam family "Bacterial small subunit ribosomal RNA", at positions 30 to 526 of the family's 1533-position model. The record is from RNAcentral.